CUGGACCAUGAGGUACAGCCUCCUCCUCUGUAGGCCGCCAUGUUAAACACAGCAACUUCCUGCAAAGGAGAACAUCAGCAGAAAGACCUCACGGCUUUUGUGGAAAUCAAAUAAGCUAAGCUCAGUGAUAGGAAGUGCAACAACGCAAGGCAGUAAAACCAAGCCGAAGGCAACGGUUUGGAAAGGCACUGAUGUUGUCAAGCACAUGGCAUAGAACCAGCACGGGACGGUGGCACUGAGUGACGUGACACAGACUGACAACUACGGAGCCAUGUAACAAGCAUCACUUGUGUA
Long non-coding RNA from Gorilla gorilla gorilla (western lowland gorilla), 294 nucleotides. RefSeq lists it as uncharacterized. NCBI's taxonomy places the organism in Eukaryota, Metazoa, Chordata, Mammalia, Primates, Hominidae. The transcript is spliced from 3 exons. The record is from RefSeq and is a predicted model, not a curated record.